This 2556-nucleotide long non-coding RNA is filed under the name Octopus vulgaris (common octopus). The record is from RNAcentral. Lineage: Eukaryota; Metazoa; Mollusca; Cephalopoda; Octopoda; Octopodidae.
AAACAUAAUGAUUUAUUUCUAGAGUGCAUGACCAUAUUAGUGGGUCCACAUUUCUAAUAUCUGACCAGUAGAGGACAGCAGGCAGUGGUUUAGUUUUAUGAUGUACAUUCUAGGUGACACUUCCUCAAGGUGUCAAGUAGUGGGACUAAACCUGAAAACACACUUCAUAACUUACAGGACCAUAAACAGAAGAGGGCUGACGACCAAGUUUUAACGGGUCCCAACUUGCACACUUAAUGUGUUGUUGUACUCUUUGUUAACUCUCACUUUGCUGACUACUACUCUGUACAUAGCCUGUACAGCUGCACAAGCCAUUCUUCUACUCUUUCUUUCCUUAAGAACCACCUGAUGAUCAAACUACCAAAGUUCUUCUCCAACUCUAUGAAUGUUACGUAUACAUGCUUACUACUAAGCUCUUCUCUUGCAGUAAUCUCAUUAGGAAGAUGAUAUUAAUUGUACCUGUUCCUGGUAUAAAGCCCAAUCACAUCUCAUUUAGACUUGUUCCUAAUCAAUCUUGUAAUAUUAACUCUUUCAAUAACUUUCCUAACCUGGUCUGACAAUUUGAUUCUCUGUAAUCUCCUCUGUUGUGUAUCUGCUUUGCCUUUUUAACAGUUUACAAUCCUCUGUUGAAUGUGCAAUGACAAAGUACUAGUGUAUUUAGAGAAAAGUUUGGCAUAAGAGGAAUUAAAUAUAGUGUGCAAGAGAGAAGACCACUGGUUUGGCAAUGUGAUGCACGUAAAAGCACCCAUUACACUCUUGGAGUGGUUGGCAUUAGGAAGGGCAUCCAGCCUUAGAAACCAUGCUAAAUCAGAAUGGAGUCUAGUGCAGUCUUCCAGCUUGCCAGCCCUGGUUAAACUGUCCAACCCAUGCCAGCAUAUACAAUGAAUGUUAGAUGGUGUUGAAAUCUACUUCGGCUAUAGGAACUCGGUCACCAGCAAAGCAGAGUUCCCAUUGGCAGCCAACCUCAAACUCUUCUGCUAUAACCUGAAAGACUAUGGUGAAUAGGAGUGGUGUUAGGAGAAUGAGUUGUAGGGAAGAGGCAUGUCAGGGACAGACUGGGUGCAGGGACAUAGACAAAUUAUAUGAAAUGGACAGGUGUUCUCAAGAACAGCAAAUCACCAGUCAUCUUGGUGCUUUUGUCAUCCACCCCAUGAUACUCAACACAGAGGAGAUGACUACUUCACUUCUUCGUUCCACAGCUCUUUCUGCAUUUAAUUGCUGGCACUUCGUUAUGCAACUGUCAUCUCCACUGCACAUCACAUGAUCACACCAGUGCAGUCUUCUCUCUUGUACACACACAUGGCAGACUUUUUCAGCUUUUUUCAUGUUUGUUUCUUUGUAUCUGUGUUUGUCUCCAACCACCAAUUGACAACCAGUGUUGGUAUGUUUAUGUUCCCAUAACUUAACGGUUCAGCAAAACAGACCAACUGAGUAAGUACUAGGCUUUUGACUAAAACCCUUCGAGGUGAUGCCCCAGCAUAACUGCAGUCAAAUGACUGAAACAAGAAAAAGAUAAAAGGCUUUGCUUACAAGGACCAUAGAAGAAGGCACUUGCAGAAGGUGCCAUGCAGUGGGACAGAACCUGAAACUACUUGCCUUGCAGUAUUUUGGUACAUAACCUUAUGUUCAAAGUUCAAAUCCUGUAGAGAAUAAAAUCCAGUCCCAAAAUAAGGUUAACUGAAGCUGCUCUACACCCUCCACCCCCAUGCCCGCUCCCUUCUGUGUUGCUAGUUAUGUCUCAUUUUAUUCUGAAAUCAAAUGUUUUUGUAACAAUCUAUAAAACUUAUUAUUAGCAUAGUUACUGAAUACUAGGUCUUUGGAUAUGUAGUGGAAUUUUGUCACACCACUUUCUAAUGAUAUUGAUUUCUUUUUACAUAGGCACAAGGUCAGAAAUUUGUAAGAAGGGGUUAGUAGUGCAUUUUAUCAACUCCAGAAGGAUGAAACACAAAGUUGACCUAAGACACACAGACACACCACACACACAUUGAUUGUCCUCACAGCUAACAUUAACACUCCUUUUCUAAAACCAUAGAAAAGAAGAAAACUAUUUUGUGUGGCACUAAAUUCUGCCAAUCUUUUAUUUAAUGAUGAUUUCUGAAGCACAUCAAGGCAAGAAAUUUAAUGUUUACAGAAUUACAAGUGAUAUUCAGUAAUCAAAUUGUGUAAUCUCACAGAAAAAAAGAGGAGGAUUGCUAAGGAAGCCCCGUCUUCUCUUAGAAGCUUCACUAGACAUUUACUUAAUCUUAUGGGUCCAUUUUUUACUGUUUUUUUUUUAUAUAUACAUCUUGCUGGUACCUUGUAAAAAGCACCCAGUACACUCUGUAAAGUGGUUGGUGUUAGGAAGGGCAUCCAGCCAUAGAAGCCAUGCCUAAACAGACAUGGAGCCUAGUACAGCUCUCUAGGUUACCAGCUCCUAUCAAACCAUCCAAACCAUUCCAGCAUAAAAAAACGGAUGUUAAAUGACGAUGGUGAUGAACUUGUUUGUAACUAUUAUUUUCUUUUUCAUUGAAUUCAAUAACUAUAUUUGUAUAUUUUAAAUGAAAAGAAAAUGAUAGA